GAUGAACGCUGGCGGCGUGCCUAAUACAUGCAAGUCGAGCGAAAAGACGAGGAGCUUGCGCCUCUGACGUUAGCGGCGGACGGGAGAGUAACACGUGGAUAACCUACCUAUAAGACUGGGAUAAUCUCGGGAAACGGGAGAUAAUACGGGAGAAUAUAUUGAACCGCGUGGGGCAAUAGUGAAAGACGGCUUUGGUGUAACGUAUAGAUGGAUCCGCGCCGCGUUAGCUAGUUGGUAAGGUAACGGCUUACCAAGGCAACUAGGCGUUGCCGACGGCUUUGGGGGGUCGCCCACCUGGGAGCUUGGCCGCCGUCCAUGCUCCUACGGGAGGCCCCAGUCGGCUACGUGCCGCAGUGGUCGAGAGCCUGACGGAGCAACGCCGCGUCAGUUAUGAAGGUCUUCGGAUCGUAAUACUCUCUUAUUGGUUAUGAACAAAUUUCUACGUAACUGUGCACUUCUUGACGGUACCGGAUCAGAAAGCCCCGGCUAACUACGUG
RNAcentral lists this ribosomal RNA (497 nucleotides) under uncultured bacterium. Its description in RNAcentral is "partial 16S ribosomal RNA". It matches the Rfam family "Bacterial small subunit ribosomal RNA", at positions 28 to 507 of the family's 1533-position model. The record is from RNAcentral.